Molecule: ribosomal RNA, 229 nt
Filed under: uncultured bacterium
Lineage: Bacteria
Description: partial 16S ribosomal RNA
Rfam family: Bacterial small subunit ribosomal RNA
Source: RNAcentral
UGAGGAACAUGACCUUCGGCGGGGGAUAGCCGGCCCAACGGCCGGGUAAUACCGCGUACGACCACAUGGGGACAUCCCUGAGUGGUGAAAGCAGCAAUGCGCCGAUGGAGUGCCUCGCGGCCUAUCAGCUAGUUGGUGAGGUAACGGCUCACCAAGGCAACGACGGGUANCUGGUCUGAGAGGAUGAUCAGCCACAUUGGGACUGAGACACGGCCCAGAUCCGUACGGG